RNAcentral lists this ribosomal RNA (514 nucleotides) under fungal sp. GQGC7. RNAcentral describes it as "eukaryotic LSU rRNA". The stretch from base 152 to 305 matches the Rfam family "5.8S ribosomal RNA". Lineage: Eukaryota; Fungi. The record is from RNAcentral.
ACGGGCUGGACCUCUCGGGGUUACAGCCUUGCUGAAUUAUUCACCCUUGUCUUUUGCGUACUUCUUGUUUCCUUGGUGGGUUCGCCCACCACUAGGACAAACAUAAACCUUUUGUAAUUGCAAUCAGCGUCAGUAACAAAUUAAUAAUUACAACUUUCAACAACGGAUCUCUUGGUUCUGGCAUCGAUGAAGAACGCAGCGAAAUGCGAUAAGUAGUGUGAAUUGCAGAAUUCAGUGAAUCAUCGAAUCUUUGAACGCACAUUGCGCCCUUUGGUAUUCCAAAGGGCAUGCCUGUUCGAGCGUCAUUUGUACCCUCAAGCUUUGCUUGGUGUUGGGCGUCUUGUCUCUAGCUUUGCUGGAGACUCGCCUUAAAGUAAUUGGCAGCCGGCCUACUGGUUUCGGAGCGCAGCACAAGUCGCACUCUCUAUCAGCAAAGGUCUAGCAUCCAUUAAGCCUUUUUUUCAACUUUUGACCUCGGAUCAGGUAGGGAUACCCGCUGAACUUAAGCAUAUCU